UCUGCCUCCGCUGCCGCCAUGGCACCCGUGAAAAAGCUUGUGACGAAGGGGGGCAAAAAAAAAAAAAAAAAAAAGAAGCACGUUCUGAAGUUCACUCUUGAUUGCAACCACCCUGUAGAAGAUGGAAUCAUGGAUGCAGCCAAUUUUGAGCAGUUUUUGCAAGAGAGGAUCAAAGUGAACGGAAAAGCUGGGAAUCUCGGUGGAGGAGUUGUGACUAUUGAAAGGAGCAAGAACAAGAUCACUGUGACUUCCGAGGUGCCUUUUUCCAAAAGGUAUGUGAAAUAUCUCACCAAAAAAUAUCUGAAGAAGAAUAAUCUACGUGAUUGGUUGCACAUAGUUGCUAACAGCAAAGAGAGUUACGAGUUACGUUACUUCCAAAUUAACCAGGAUGAAGAAGAGGAGGAAGAUGAGGAUUAAAAUUCAUUUAUCUUCAAUAUUUUGUAUGAGUUCUUGAAUAAAACUUGGGAACCAAAAAA
RNA transcript from Carlito syrichta (Philippine tarsier), 476 nucleotides. It is a transcript of the gene named 60S ribosomal protein L22 pseudogene, with no coding region annotated. The record is from RefSeq and is a predicted model, not a curated record. The transcript has a single exon. Lineage: Eukaryota; Metazoa; Chordata; Mammalia; Primates; Tarsiidae.